AUGGAACAAUCCAAUCCAGCAGAUCAGGAUGAACUGGAGACAUUAAUGGAGUUGAAGAGGAGAACAAAGAUUGCCAAAUUUAGGAAACAUAAGAUUGCAGCUGAGCAUGUAAAUAAGGUUAAGCAGAAGCUACCAAUUCUUCUAACUGAAGAUGAUUCAGAUCUGGAUGCAGAUGAAGACUAUCUUCAGAGGCUUAAUGAGAUGAGGCAGCAAAGAGAGGAUCCACUCAUUCAUUUUGAUGGAGACACUGAUGUGGAUGAAGUGUAUGAGGAAGAUGAGGAAGGGCAACAUGUGGAGGUGGAGCAACAGGAGCAGGUGGAGCAAGAUGAGCAGGUGGAGCAGCAAGAGGUGCCUACAAAGAAGAAGAAAGCUAGAAAAGGGCCAACAGAGAGGAAUAUGAUGAUGGAGCUGAGGAAGUACAAUUUAUUCUGCCCAAUGGAAGGAAGAGCAGAUCAAUGA
Molecule: ribosomal RNA, 459 nt
Filed under: Triticum aestivum (bread wheat)
Lineage: Eukaryota; Viridiplantae; Streptophyta; Magnoliopsida; Poales; Poaceae
Description: partial small subunit ribosomal RNA
Source: RNAcentral